UGCCCAAGGAUGGGAAUCGAACCCACAAUGUUCGGCUUACCGGGCAGAUGCCAUAUCCACUAGGCUACCCUGGAC
This 75-nucleotide transfer RNA is filed under the name Cordylochernes scorpioides. RNAcentral's name for it is "tRNA-Thr". The record is from RNAcentral. Lineage: Eukaryota; Metazoa; Arthropoda; Arachnida; Pseudoscorpiones; Chernetidae.